Molecule: ribosomal RNA, 497 nt
Filed under: uncultured bacterium
Lineage: Bacteria
Description: partial 16S ribosomal RNA
Rfam family: Bacterial small subunit ribosomal RNA
Source: RNAcentral
GAUGAACGCUGGCGGCGUGCCUAAUACAUGCAAGUCGAGCGAACGGACGAGAAUCUUGCUUUUCUGAUGUCAGCGGCGGACGGGUGAGUAACACGUGGAUAACCUACCUAUAAGACUGGGAUAACUUCGGGAAACCGGAGCUAAUACCGGAUAAUAUUUUGAACCGCAUGGUUCAAAAGUGAAAGACGGUCUUGCUGUCACUUAUAGAUUGAUCCGCGCUGCAUUAGCUAGUUGGUAAGGUAACGGCUUACCAAGGCAACGAUGCAUAGCCGACCUGAGAGGGUGAUCGGCCACACUGGAACUGAGACACGGUCCAGACUCCUACGAGAGGCAGCAGUAGGGAAUCUUCCGCAAUGGGCGAAAGCCUGACGGAGCAACGCCGCGUGAGUGAUGCAGGUCUUCGGAUCGUAAAACUCUGUUAUUAGGGAAGAACAUAUGUGUAAGUAACUGUGCACAUCUUGACGGUACCUAAUCAGAAAGCCACGGCUAACUACGUG